This 276-nucleotide ribosomal RNA is filed under the name Salmonella enterica. RNAcentral describes it as "partial 23S ribosomal RNA". It matches the Rfam family "Bacterial large subunit ribosomal RNA", at positions 1143 to 1336 of the family's 2925-position model. The record is from RNAcentral. RNAcentral also lists the same sequence under 67 other names. Lineage: Bacteria; Pseudomonadati; Pseudomonadota; Gammaproteobacteria; Enterobacterales; Enterobacteriaceae.
CACUGGUCGAGUCGGCCUGCGCGGAAGAUGUAACGGGGCUAAACCAUGCACCGAAGCUGCGGCAGCGAACGUAUCACUUAAAGCGAUUCAGCGGGUUACGAUUGACGGAGCGAAGCGACGUCAAAGCGUAUACAAAGUCGAGUCGGUUUAAGGAUACGUUCGUUGGGUAGGGGAGCGUUCUGUAAGCCCGUGAAGGUGGCCUGUGAGGGUUGCUGGAGGUAUCAGAAGUGCGAAUGCUGACAUAAGUAACGAUAAAGCGGGUGAAAAGCCCGCUCG